This 54-nucleotide transfer RNA is filed under the name Fusarium tricinctum. RNAcentral's name for it is "tRNA-Ser". The record is from RNAcentral. Lineage: Eukaryota; Fungi; Ascomycota; Sordariomycetes; Hypocreales; Nectriaceae.
AUCUCAUUAGCUUUAAGGGAUAGCAUAAUUUUAGUUCGACUCUAAAAUGAGAAA